CACCGCGGUUAUACGAGCGGGCCCCAGUUGACAGAAUCCGGCGUAAAGGGUGGUUAGUAAGAUUUUUACUAAAGCCGAACAUCUUCGAAGCUGUUAUAAGCCCUUGAAGACAGGAAGCCCGCCUACGAAGGUGGCUUUAAAAACUACGACACCACUAAAACUAGGGAACAAACUGGGAUUAGAUACCCCACUAUGCCUAGUCUUAAACAAAGACAAUGUUUCUUACAACCAUUGUUCGCCAGGGGACAACGAGCCCCAGCUUAAAACCCAAAGGACUUGGCGGUGCUUUAGACCCCCCUAGAGGAGCCUGUUCUAGAACCGAUACUCCCCGUUCAACCUCACCCCCUCUUGUUAAAUACCGCCUGUAUACCGCCGUCGUCAGCCCACCCUGUGAAGGGUAAAUAGUGAGCAGAAUCGGCAAAGCCUAAAACGUCAGGUCGAGGUGCAGCAUACGAGGGGGGAAGAAAUGGGCUACAUUUUCUGACCCAGCAAAUACGGAAGUUGCUCUGAAAAUACACCUGAAGGAGGAUUUAGCAGUAAGGGGCGAGUAGAGUGCCCCCCUGAAACCGGCCCUGAAGCGCGCACACACCGCCCGUCACUCUCCCCGACAAGUGCACCUUAUAAAUAAUUAAUCUAGACACGCAACAGAGGGGAGGCAAGUCGUAA
RNAcentral lists this ribosomal RNA (666 nucleotides) under Eviota guttata (spotted pygmy goby). RNAcentral's name for it is "partial 12S ribosomal RNA". It matches the Rfam family "Bacterial small subunit ribosomal RNA", at positions 513 to 1491 of the family's 1533-position model. The record is from RNAcentral. Lineage: Eukaryota; Metazoa; Chordata; Actinopteri; Gobiiformes; Gobiidae.